This 253-nucleotide ribosomal RNA is filed under the name uncultured prokaryote. RNAcentral's name for it is "partial 16S ribosomal RNA". It matches the Rfam family "Bacterial small subunit ribosomal RNA", at positions 525 to 777 of the family's 1533-position model. The record is from RNAcentral.
ACAGAGGGUGCGAGCGUUAAUCGGAAUUACUGGGCGUAAAGCGUGCGUAGACGGUUAUUUAAGUCGGGUGUGAAAGCCCCGGGCUCAACCUGGGAAUUGCAUUCGAGACUGAAUAGCUAGGGUACGGUAGAGGGAAGUGGAAUUUCCGGUGUAGCGGUGAAAUGCGUAGAUAUCGGAAGGAACAUCAGUGGCGAAAGCGACUUCCUGGACCAGUACCGACGUUCAGGCACGAAAGCGUGGGGAGCAAACAGGA